UUAGCGGCGCUUUUUAGCGCCACUAAAAGUGAAAGCGCCGCAAAA
Molecule: non-coding RNA, 45 nt
Organism: Gossypium raimondii (Peruvian cotton)
Lineage: Eukaryota; Viridiplantae; Streptophyta; Magnoliopsida; Malvales; Malvaceae
Source: Rfam